GAAGAGCGAAGAGUCACCUGCGGGUACGGUGGUAAAUGGGCCCUAGUGUCAAGGACGAGCAGAAAUUUAACAGGCGAGGUCCCCAAAUUGGCACUCCUAUCUCACACUCUGCACAGCCCGGGGAGCCCCGGAGGAAGCCCCCGGCACAAACCUAGUUACCGGCCCCAGAGCGCCGCGCGGGGCUCCCCGGGCAGAGCCGGCAGUCCGGGACUCGGAGGUGCGGGAGCUGCGGCCACCCCGCAGAAGAGGCUGCCUCGCUCCCCUACCGCGCUUGGGGCACGGAUGGGGGGGGGGGGGGGCCGCCGAGGCUGCCGCUCCCGAGGUCGGGCGGCUCCUGCUGCUGCUGCUGCUGCUGCCGCCGCGGGCGCUGUCGAGGAAUCUGCCCGAGCGCGCAGACCUCGCGGGGGCUCCGACCCGUGACCCGAGCCCAGGCCGAGCACGCGGCUGAGAGCUCUGUGGGACAUACUAGACAACCAACGCCGAGCCCUUACCUCGGCCUCGACCGCCGUGGCCGCCUCCACACCAGGCAGCCUCCAGCCCGCACGGGGCGGGGGAGCCGGGAGGGGCCCGGGAGGAGGGGUGUCUGCCCGAGUUUCCCCUGUUGACUUUUUAAUUUGGGAACGAGAUGCCCAAGGCAGUGACUAGCCCUGCGCUCAGCGGCGGAGGCGUCCGGAGUUCUCUGCGUAGAGAGCAAACAAAAACGUUCUGGGACUUCCCUGGUGGUGUGGGGGAUAAGGAUCUGCCUGCCAAUGCAGGGGACAUGGAUUCGAUCCCUGGUCUGGGAAGAUUCCAUUGGCAACUAAGCUCACGAGCUGCAACCACUGAGCUGCCUGCUGCAACUACCAAAGCCCGCUCACCUCGAGCCUCUGCUCCGCAACAAGAGAAGCCGCUGCAAUGAGAAGCCCAUGCUCCACAACUAGAGGAAGCCCACACAAAGCAAUGAAGACCCAGAACAGCUGAAAAGAAAAAAAAAAAAAAUUGUUCUGGAGGGAGACACAGAUUGGCGUGUGGGAGUGGUUAUUGACAACCUAAA
Molecule: long non-coding RNA, 1033 nt
Filed under: Cervus hanglu yarkandensis (Yarkand deer)
Lineage: Eukaryota; Metazoa; Chordata; Mammalia; Artiodactyla; Cervidae
Description: lncRNA (ENSCHYG00000000791.1)
Source: RNAcentral